UACGGAGGGAGCUAGCGUUGUUCGGAAUCACUGGGCUUAAAGGGAGCGUAGGCGGGCUAUCAAGUCUGGGGUGAAAUCCCACGGCUCAACCGUGGAACUGCCUUAGAUACUGACGGCCUCGAGGGAGAUAGGGGCAUGCGGAACUGUAGGUGGAGCGGUGAAAUGCGUUGAUAUCUACAGGAACUCCGGUGGCGAAAGCGGCGUGCUGGAUCUCUUCUGACGCUGAGGCUCGAAAGCUAGGGGAGCAAACGGG
This 253-nucleotide ribosomal RNA is filed under the name uncultured bacterium. RNAcentral describes it as "partial 16S ribosomal RNA". It matches the Rfam family "Bacterial small subunit ribosomal RNA", at positions 524 to 776 of the family's 1533-position model. The record is from RNAcentral.